GGUCGGGAACUCAAAGGAGACUGCCAGUGAUAAACUGGAGGAAGGUGGGGAUGACGUCAAGUCAUCAUGGCCCUUACGACCAGGGCUACACACGUGCUACAAUGGCGCAUACAAAGAGAAGCGACCUCGCGAGAGCAAGCGGACCUCAUAAAGUGCGUCGUAGUCCGGAUUGGAGUCUGCAACUCGACUCCAUGAAGUCGGAAUCGCUAGUAAUCGUGGAUCAGAAUGCCACGGUGAAUACGUUCCCGGGCCUUGUACACACCGCCCGUCACACCAUGGGAGUGGGUUGCAAAAGAAGUAGGUAGCUUAACCUUCGGGAGGGCGCUUACCACUUUGUGAUUCAUGACUGGGGUGAAGUCGUAACAAGGUAACCGUAGGGGAACCUGCGGUUGGAUCACCUCCUUACCUUAAAGAAGC
This 417-nucleotide ribosomal RNA is filed under the name Salmonella enterica subsp. enterica serovar Agona. RNAcentral's name for it is "bacterial SSU rRNA". It matches the Rfam family "Bacterial small subunit ribosomal RNA", at positions 1129 to 1533 of the family's 1533-position model. Lineage: Bacteria; Pseudomonadati; Pseudomonadota; Gammaproteobacteria; Enterobacterales; Enterobacteriaceae. RNAcentral also lists the same sequence under 1 other name. The record is from RNAcentral.